This 274-nucleotide ribosomal RNA is filed under the name uncultured bacterium. RNAcentral's name for it is "partial 16S ribosomal RNA". It matches the Rfam family "Bacterial small subunit ribosomal RNA", at positions 523 to 796 of the family's 1533-position model. The record is from RNAcentral.
AUACGGAGGGCGCAAGCGUUGCCCGGAAUCACUGGGUGUAAAGGGUGCGUAGGCGGGGCUGUAAGUCAGAGGUGAAAGCCCUCGGCUCAACCAGGGAAUUGCCUCUGAUACUGCAGCUCUUGAGUCCCGGAGAGGCCGCUGGAAUUCCUGGUGUAGCGGUGAAAUGCGUAGAUAUCAGGAGGAACACCGGAGGCGAAGGCGGGCCGCUGGACGGGGACUGACGCUGAGGCACGAAAGCGUGGGGAGCAAACAGGAUUAGAAACCCGAGUAGUCC